ACAAAGCUUAGAUGGUGUAGCUGAAGUCCGUAUGAGUCUUUGGCUUUGUAUCUUCUAACAAGGAAACACUACUUAGGCUUUAAAGAUCCAGUUGCAGUUUAAGUUUUUAUACUCAAUCAUACACAUGACAUAUAGUCAUAUUUGA
This 145-nucleotide small RNA is filed under the name Arabidopsis thaliana (thale cress). Its description in RNAcentral is "ATSL267170". Lineage: Eukaryota; Viridiplantae; Streptophyta; Magnoliopsida; Brassicales; Brassicaceae. The record is from RNAcentral.